CACGCACGUCACUGCCUCUCUCCUUCUCCCUUUUCUUUUCCUUUUCUUCCUCUUUCUCUCCUUCUCCUCUCUGUUCUCCCGCACAUCACAGCAGCCCCUCCCCUGUUCCAACACCUGAUUCCCUCUCCCUUUUUCCUUCUCUUCCAUUUUCUUCCUCUCCUCGUCUCACUGCCAUGCACGCACACGUACACCAGCCCAUGAGAGAUUGAGAGAGUGAGACGCAGAGAUGGAGAGACCCGUGAGCAAAACCCGUUGAACAGUGCACGAAGCCGACAAAUAGCGGUUCCAGUGGUGAUUUCGGCGAAGCAAAGCUGAAACCCGACGGCUUGAAGGUCGAUUUCCGGCGGAACCCGACGAACCCAGGAGCUCCGAUCGGGAAGACCCGUGACCCAGUGAUCCGUGACCCGAGACCCAUGAAACCCGACCAUCUAUGAGCGGUUUCCGGCGAGUUUUCCGGCGACCCAGUGAGGGAUUUCCGACGAUUUCUAAUGGAUUUUCUAUGGAAUUUCUAGGGAUCAUGUUCGGAUUGGAAACUUUAAUUGGUUCUCCAAUGUAGAGUCCAAGUGACUAGAGUCCAAGGAGUGUUCGAGUUGGAGUCCAAUGCAGCCAAGAUGAUGUUUCUUUGGCUGCAGGUACUUCGGUAUAGUCGAUGGGUUGGUAGCAGUGUGCUUGGGAUGUUAUGACUGAAGCUCGCCGCGACAGUUGUAAUUGUCGGACCACGGGUUGUCCACUAUUAUAUAGGUUUGGUAUGGCUUGUGACGUUUGUGUCACUUAUUCUUUGUUAAGCCAUUAUUGUUAUAGUGUUAAUAAGACUCGAACAGAUAGAUAUUAAAUGGCUCUUUGUUGUAAUUAACUUGUGAUAGAUGUAUAAGUUGUAAUUUCCGCUAUUCAGAUUUAUGUUUUCCGCUGCAUAGAUAGAUGUAUGUUAUACUCUGAUUAUCAGGUACAUGUUAUGGGGCAUGUGCCAUAUGUUGGCUGAGCGACA
Molecule: long non-coding RNA, 985 nt
Organism: Alnus glutinosa
Lineage: Eukaryota; Viridiplantae; Streptophyta; Magnoliopsida; Fagales; Betulaceae
Exons: 3
Source: RefSeq, a predicted model, not a curated record